Molecule: ribosomal RNA, 1352 nt
Filed under: uncultured bacterium
Lineage: Bacteria
Description: bacterial SSU rRNA
Rfam family: Bacterial small subunit ribosomal RNA
Source: RNAcentral
AUUGAACGCUGGCGGCAUGCCUUACACAUGCAAGUCGAACGGCAGCACGGAGCUUGCUCUGGUGGCGAGUGGCGAACGGGUGAGUAAUAUAUCGGAACGUACCCUAGAGUGGGGGAUAACGUAGCGAAAGUUACGCUAAUACCGCAUACGAUCUAAGGAUGAAAGUGGGGGAUCGCAAGACCUCAUGCUCGUGGAGCGGCCGAUAUCUGAUUAGCUAGUUGGUAGGGUAAAAGCCUACCAAGGCAUCGAUCAGUAGCUGGUCUGAGAGGACGACCAGCCACACUGGAACUGAGACACGGUCCAGACUCCUACGGGAGGCAGCAGUGGGGAAUUUUGGACAAUGGGCGAAAGCCUGAUCCAGCAAUGCCGCGUGAGUGAAGAAGGCCUUCGGGUUGUAAAGCUCUUUUGUCAGGGAAGAAACGGUGAGAGCUAAUAUCUCUUGCUAAUGACGGUACCUGAAGAAUAAGCACCGGCUAACUACGUGCCAGCAGCCGCGGUAAUACGUAGGGUGCAAGCGUUAAUCGGAAUUACUGGGCGUAAAGCGUGCGCAGGCGGUUUUGUAAGUCUGAUGUGAAAUCCCCGGGCUCAACCUGGGAAUUGCAUUGGAGACUGCAAGGCUAGAAUCUGGCAGAGGGGGGUAGAAUUCCACGUGUAGCAGUGAAAUGCGUAGAUAUGUGGAGGAACACCGAUGGCGAAGGCAGCCCCCUGGGUCAAGAUUGACGCUCAUGCACGAAAGCGUGGGGAGCAAACAGGAUUAGAUACCCUGGUAGUCCACGCCCUAAACGAUGUCUACUAGUUGUCGGGUCUUAAUUGACUUGGUAACGCAGCUAACGCGUGAAGUAGACCGCCUGGGGAGUACGGUCGCAAGAUUAAAACUCAAAGGAAUUGACGGGGACCCGCACAAGCGGUGGAUGAUGUGGAUUAAUUCGAUGCAACGCGAAAAACCUUACCUACCCUUGACAUGGCUGGAAUCCUUGAGAGAUCAGGGAGUGCUCGAAAGAGAACCAGUACACAGGUGCUGCAUGGCUGUCGUCAGCUCGUGUCGUGAGAUGUUGGGUUAAGUCCCGCAACGAGCGCAACCCUUGUCAUUAGUUGCUACGAAAGGGCACUCUAAUGAGACUGCCGGUGACAAACCGGAGGAAGGUGGGGAUGACGUCAAGUCCUCAUGGCCCUUAUGGGUAGGGCUUCACACGUCAUACAAUGGUACAUACAGAGCGCCGCCAACCCGCGAGGGGGAGCUAAUCGCAGAAAGUGUAUCGUAGUCCGGAUCGUAGUCUGCAACUCGACUGCAUGAAGUUGGAAUCGCUAGUAAUCGCGGAUCAGCAUGUCGCGGUGAAUACGUUCCCGGGUCU